ACAACAACAAUGAUGGAGAAAAGGUAUUGAUUUCGUCCUCAGAGAACCGGUGCUUGGGUGGAAGCCGGUGGCGAAGUAACUACUUUCAGCGCUCCUGAGUUAUUGCAUCGAGGUCUAGGAUUUUCCGACAUUAGAUGCAAUCGGCAGAAAACCGUUAUCCUUUCGGUCAUUAUAUGACCGCUGAAGGCAGUCCAUUGCGAAAUGGCUGCGAAUUAGGGUGGUACCACGAUAACUCUCGUCCCUUAC
This 246-nucleotide non-coding RNA is filed under the name Paenibacillus polymyxa. RNAcentral describes it as "T-box sequence". It matches the Rfam family "T-box leader". From Rfam's summary of the family: Uncharged tRNA acts as the effector for transcription antitermination of genes in the T-box leader family. T-boxes are found upstream of many aminoacyl-tRNA synthetase genes and some amino acid biosynthetic genes usually in Gram-positive bacteria. Lineage: Bacteria; Bacillati; Bacillota; Bacilli; Caryophanales; Paenibacillaceae. The record is from RNAcentral.